Molecule: small nuclear RNA, 107 nt
Filed under: Castor canadensis (American beaver)
Lineage: Eukaryota; Metazoa; Chordata; Mammalia; Rodentia; Castoridae
Source: RNAcentral
UUGCUUGCUUCAGCAGCACAUGUACUAAAAUUGAAAUGAUACACAGAAGAUUAGCAUGGCUCCUGCACAAGAAUGACAUGCAAAUUUGUGAAGAGUUCCAUUAAAAA